Molecule: ribosomal RNA, 566 nt
Filed under: Bos taurus (domestic cattle)
Lineage: Eukaryota; Metazoa; Chordata; Mammalia; Artiodactyla; Bovidae
Description: partial 16S ribosomal RNA
Rfam family: Bacterial large subunit ribosomal RNA
Source: RNAcentral
AAAAACAUCACCUCCAGCAUUCCCAGUAUUGGAGGCAUUGCCUGCCCAGUGACAACUGUUUAACGGCCGCGGUAUCCUGACCGUGCAAAGGUAGCAUAAUCAUUUGUUCUCUAAAUAAGGACUUGUAUGAAUGGCCGCACGAGGGUUUUACUGUCUCUUACUUCCAAUCAGUGAAAUUGACCUUCCCGUGAAGAGGCGGGAAUGCACAAAUAAGACGAGAAGACCCUAUGGAGCUUUAACUAACCAACCCAAAGAGAAUAGAUUUAACCAUUAAGGAAUAACAACAAUCUCCAUGAGUUGGUAGUUUCGGUUGGGGUGACCUCGGAGAAUAAAAAAUCCUCCGAGCGAUUUUAAAGACUAGACCCACAAGUCAAAUCACUCUAUCGCUCAUUGAUCCAAAAACUUGAUCAACGGAACAAGUUACCCUAGGGAUAACAGCGCAAUCCUAUUCAAGAGUCCAUAUCGACAAUAGGGUUUACGACCUCGAUGUUGGAUCAGGACAUCCUGAUGGUGCAACCGCUAUCAAAGGUUCGUUUGUUCAACGAUUAAAGUCCUACGUGAUCUGA